UUCAGCUCCGCCAGGCGCAUUCGCAGCUCGCGGCCCAGCUCCUCGUGGUCCACAGGCCCGAAGAGGCUGCGGCAGGCGCUGCUGCGCGCUAUCACUGGGAAGGUAUCGCUGGAAGCCAAGCGUUCCAUCGCUGUUCUGCUGCGGAGGGACGCGGCAGCUACCUGGCUGAUUGGUGGUGGACGGCUCCUGCGUCUCGAUCGCUUGUCCUGUCCAGCUUGGGCCGCGCCCCCUCGGAGCUUGCCUGCCUGUUCGCUUGCUCUCAGUCGGGCCUAGCCGGCACCCCUCGAGCACAGCGCACUCGGCCUGUGGAACGCCCAGCCCGCUGCGCCCCUUUAUACGCGCUGGCCCCACCCCCGCGCGCGCGGGCCUCCUCACGAUUAGCAUAAUGUAGUAUUUUCAGUUUCAACAACACCGCGGCGAUAGGCCGAGACACCCCGCCCCGCCCACAGAGGCCCGGCCCCCUAGACUCGCUCAUUGGCCGCGUGCACACACCCCCGGGGCCGGGCGGGGCCGGCGAUGGGCGUGCGCUGAUUGGCGGCCGCGCUGUGAGCGGGCUGCGCGGGACAGGGGGCGGGGCUCGAGUUAAAGAGCUCUGCGGGCGGUAACGUGACACCGCGACGCCCCUCCUCCUCGCCCCAUCCCCCCCCGCCCCCCGCGGGCUCCUUUGUCUGCAGGCGGGGGCUUGCGCAGCCGCGACGCGCGCGCCCCCUCGGACCCUGAAGCUGGGCACUGCCCCUCGGCGAUACUGGCGUCGGUGCAGGUCCUUCGGUCCCCACGGCCUGUGCUCUCACUAGGGCUGCGCCAGCUGAUAGGGCUUUAAACCAUCUCUACCAGCUGGGUCCUGGCCCUGGCAGGACCAUGGCUGGAGCUGCCCUCUGCACCCAGACCUGUGUCCUUGCCUUCGUUCGAGGUGUCUGAACACCUGCUGGCACUAAGAGCCUCCAACAAGGAGGUAGAGACAGGGAUCAGCUCCAUUCUUUUCCGGAGGGACAAUAUUGUGGAGGUCUUGGGGGCCUGACCAGUAGCCUGAUCUAUGUGGGUUCGCCUACCCAGAUGAGACAUAAACUGUUCCAUCCUGGCCUGUACCUACAUCACGACACUGCUAUAUGCCCAGGACCCGUCAGGCCAUAUCCAGGCACCAGUUCUGCCUGCCUUGGUUGACUGGAAGUAGUUGUGCUGGGAAAGAGGGGAAGACCCACCCCUCCUCCACAGCAGUGCCUCUUGGUGGGGCCCUGUGUACUCACACAAACACACCCCGACUGCGACGGCAGACCCCCACCCCCACCCCUGCCGCCAAAAGAAGUCCAUUAUUUAGGGCAGGGAGUCCAGAAGGUGACUCCGGCAUGUGCCAGGAGCAGGCCCCCUCCCCCGCCGUGGGGAACCAGGACUUCCGGCCAUACUUGAAAGGCCGUGCAGAGCCCCCAAGCUCUCCCCUCCCAGCAGAGACUGCCUCUGAGAAUUCGGAGACAGAAACCUAUUUGCAGUGGUUAGGUAGUUCGGAACAACCAGGAAGGCGAGUGGUCGAUAAGAGGUCUUCAAACCCUGAAGCCAGGUGCCAGUGAAUAGGUCGUCCUGGAACAGAUGAGAGACAGGGUUUGGAAUGCCUGUGACCUGUGAGGAUGUCUUUUUCUCAGUACACCACUUUACAAAUCUCUCAGGACAUUGGUAAGUCACGAUAUUGUUCUUGAGUAAAGUCAAACUAACGAAGGCUUCUGAGCCCCUCACUAAAGGCUAAAAUCAACUAGUCCAGGGUCACAAGGAGUCAGUUCUGAGUCCUCAACCAGAGACCCCUGGGCACAGGACCACGCUUGUUAGUGACCACCUGGCUCCCAGGGUUUCCCCAACAGUCCGAAUACCCAGGCUACCGCUGUCAAAGAUGGCAGGAACAGAGAAGGCCCACCCUGCCCACAACCCAGGCCAAAAGCUGCUGUGAGGACUGGACACUCCCUAUGGUGCAGAACCGCCGUGCCCUAUUAGUUAGGAGAAGCAGUAAAGGUACCCAGGUGAGCUGUGCAGACUGCCUCACUGGGCAUCAGCCUGGCUAGAACAUCCCCACCCUAAGGUUGUCUGUCUUGUUUGCUUUCUACUUUUUGUUUGUUUUAUGUUGUUGUGGUUUUUUUGUUUUUUUGAAACAGUUUCUCUAUGUAACAGUUCUGGCUGUCUGGGAGUUCACUUAGUAGACCAGACUGGUCUUGAACUCACAGAGAUCCGCCAGCCUCUCUGCCUCCCAAGUGCUCGGACUAAAGGUGUACGCAUCACUGCCUGGCUGCUUUCUACUUUUUUAUUACUGUUUGAUCAGUCUAUUUGUCCCACCUCAACCCAGGGGAAGUGACCACUCUGCAAGUCUAUCAAGGACAGCAUGCACAGAUUUGGUAGGCACACUGGUUCCAGGAGAAGGGCCCAGUCCCACACCUAGCCCGCCAGCCCAUGAAGUCUGCACUCUUCACCCAUAGCCUUGAGCAGUGUGUCCAGAGCUUCUCCAGAUCACCUGGGAAAAGCGCACAUCUAAGUCCAGAGACCAGUUUGUGCCGCGGAUCUCUGGCAAAAUUUCAUGCGCACCCGUUUAGAUGACGACCACGGGAG
Molecule: long non-coding RNA, 2583 nt
Organism: Alexandromys fortis (reed vole)
Lineage: Eukaryota; Metazoa; Chordata; Mammalia; Rodentia; Cricetidae
Exons: 3
Source: RefSeq, a predicted model, not a curated record